RNAcentral lists this ribosomal RNA (253 nucleotides) under uncultured bacterium. RNAcentral describes it as "partial 16S ribosomal RNA". It matches the Rfam family "Bacterial small subunit ribosomal RNA", at positions 524 to 776 of the family's 1533-position model. The record is from RNAcentral.
UACAGAGGUCUCAAGCGUCGUUCGGAUUCAUUGGGCGUAAAGGGUGCGUAGGUGGCGCGGUAAGUCGGGGGUGAAAUUUCGGAGCUUAACUCCGAAACUGCAUUCGAUACUGCCGUGCUUGAGGACUGGAGAGGAGACUGGAAUUUACGGUGUAGCAGUGAAAUGCGUAGAUAUCGUAAGGAAGACCAGUGGCGAAGGCGGGUCUCUGGACAGUUCCUGACACUGAGGCACGAAGGCCAGGGGAGCGAACGGG